RNAcentral lists this ribosomal RNA (245 nucleotides) under uncultured bacterium. RNAcentral describes it as "partial small subunit ribosomal RNA". It matches the Rfam family "Bacterial small subunit ribosomal RNA", at positions 26 to 285 of the family's 1533-position model. The record is from RNAcentral.
AGAAUCAACGCUGGCGGCGUGCCUAACACAUGCAAGUCGAACGAGAAAGUGGAGCAAUCCAUGAGUAAAGUGGCGCACGGGUGAGUAACACGUGACUAACCUACCCUGGAGUGGGGGAUAACUGAGGGAAACCUUAGCUAAUACCGCAUAAUACCUACGGGUCAAAGGAGCAAUUCGCUCUAGGAGGGGGUCGCGGCAGAUUAGCUAGUUGGCGGGGUAAUGGCCCACCAAGGCAGUGAUCUGUA